Aethalodelphis obliquidens (Pacific white-sided dolphin) is the source of this 948-nucleotide non-coding RNA. The record is from the annotation of a RefSeq genome assembly. NCBI's taxonomy places the organism in Eukaryota, Metazoa, Chordata, Mammalia, Artiodactyla, Delphinidae.
CUUCUUAUUACGUCCUCUGUAAUCAACCUCAGAUUCUUUUCUGACAUUCAGUGGAUUAUAGGCUGGCCCACCAUGGAUACCUGAGAAUAUAAAGUACUAUAUAAAGUGCUUAAGAGAACUGUUAUUUUCUCAGCUGCAGAAAUACCUGGGAUGCUCUGUUAAAGAACUUCCAUGUCAGGUAGUGUCCUAAGAGCAAAACAGACCUGAGAAGUUAUGACAGCUCUUGAUCAGAUUUCCAAGCACCACCUGAAGACUGGCAUGUACCUCAUGAAUAAAGUCAAGGAUAACAUUUUUCUGACUUGAGGAGACCAGGAAACGUGCAUCCCAUUUCAGUGUCUUUCCACCAGGGGGUGCAGUUUCCUAACACAAACACAUUUCCUGUCUGAAACUAGGCUUAAGUUUAUCACUUCACUGACUUCAAUAUUUCUUCAUGUGAAGAGUCAAGGACAUUAUUCAGGAGACACUCUAGAGAUGAACUCUUCUCCAGGCUUAGUGACUGUGAUACUCUUAGUGCUUGGACAAACCCGUGAAGACUCAGUGACCCAGAUGGAUGGCCAAAUGACUCUUCCAGAAGGGGCUGCCUUGACCAUAAAUUGCACUUAUUCAACCACUGGGUACCCCAUUACUUUCUGGUAUGUUCAAUAUCCUGGAGAAGGUCCACAGGUCCUUCUGAAAGCCAUGAAGGACAAUGAGAAGGGAACCAAUAAGGAGUUUGAAGCCACAUACCACAAAGAAUCAAAAUCCUUCCACUUGGAGAAAGCCUCAGUCCAAGAUUCAGAUUCGGCUGUGUACUACUGUGCUCUGAGUGACACAGUGAUGGGAACUGCAGGGGCAACUGAGCGCAAACUCUUUGAGUGGCAACAAGGGGCCUGGAGGCUGAGUGUCUCUCCAUUUGAUACACUCUGUGGCACAGUCUAUGGUGGUUUGUCCCUCAAUCUCUGGUUGAUA